GCGCGCGCCAGCCGGCCCCCGGCCCUGCGGUGCCGCCGGGAGGGUCCUCGCAACACAUGGCUGAUGUGGGACUGAGACCUGCCAGCUCAUUUCAUACGUGGGGCAGGGAAGGGCCAGCGCAGGGUACGGCCUUCCAGGCACGGCUCGCCUUGAGCCUGCUGCCCCGGGUGACAGGGAGGUCAAAGGCUCUGUCAUCACGGUGAGGCAGGCCACCCGGGGACAUCGGUGGUUCAGGUUAGGGAUCUGGGGGGGAAAGAGGUACCCCAGGGCUGGAUAAUGGCGAGAAGAUGGCCCUGUCCGUCUUGCGCGCCUAGGGCUCUCACUUUGUCUGCGUGCCUUCUCCCUACAGGUCCUAUAGCAAACAGAGGUCCGCAAUCGAGAGGGAGUAUGGGCAGGACAGCGGUCCCAGCUGCCCAGCAGCGUGCCACCUCGCUCCCAACUCUGCCUUCUUCCGUUCUGCCUCGCGCGCGCAUGGCAUCCAUCCCUCUGCGACGUCGCUCCCCUGCCCUGCUCCGGCCUAACCUCUUCUUCUCUCUCCUGGCGGCCGCUGGGUGCUGGCAGGUGGCUCCAGGGAGCCCUCGGCCCGGAGAGCGCAACUAAGUCCCUGCUCAGCCCCGCAAGCCACAUGGGCUUUUCCUGCAAGGAGUGACUCCAGGACCCUCGUUCUCCAGACUCCUGGGUCCCCAUCAGCCUCAAAUGACCGCAGGGUCCCCUCUUGCCCCGUUGCUCUGGGGACACCCACGAAGCGGACAGUCGAUGUGGGGAAGCACAGCCUCAUUCCCCGGUGCGGGAACGCAUAGCCGGCACUGCAGAGACUGGCAAGCCAGUUCCAGAAGAGAGACUGGCAGCGGGCCCGCAGUGAAGCCAACGACUCGAGGUGGGCUGCAGGCGAGGUGGCUGGGGCAGGGUGGCGAGGGGCUGGGGGUAGCUGUGGCCCAGAGGUCGAAGGUGGCCAGGUACGUGGCCUCCCAGCCAGGAGCAUGGCUGGCAGGACAGGGGCUAAUUCAGACCAGGAGUCAAGUGCCUGGCAGUGCCUGAGAGGCUCUCCCUCCAGAGAUGCAGCCCUGGUGAGGCCAUCUCUAAGGAUGUGGUACCCAACUCGGAAGAGACUGCAGGGGUGGGGUGGCUAGUGAUGUCCUGAGCCGAGAGCUGG
Molecule: long non-coding RNA, 1153 nt
Filed under: Struthio camelus australis
Lineage: Eukaryota; Metazoa; Chordata; Aves; Struthioniformes; Struthionidae
Description: lncRNA (ENSSCUG00000004329.1)
Source: RNAcentral